RNAcentral lists this ribosomal RNA (520 nucleotides) under uncultured bacterium. Its description in RNAcentral is "bacterial SSU rRNA". It matches the Rfam family "Bacterial small subunit ribosomal RNA", at positions 867 to 1388 of the family's 1533-position model. The record is from RNAcentral.
CUCCGCCUGGGGAGUNCGACCGCAAGGUUGAAACUCAAAGGAAUUGACGGGGGCCCGCACAAGCGGUGGAGCAUGUGGUUUAAUUNGAAGCAACGCGAAGAACCUUACCAGGUCUUGACAUCCCUCUGACCGCUCUAGAGAUAGAGCUUUCCUUCGGGACAGAGGUGACGGGUGGUGCAUGGUUGUCGUCAGCUCGUGUCGUGAGAUGUUGGGUUAAGUCCCGCAACGAGCGCAACCCCUAUUGUUAGUUGCCAUCAUUUAGUUGGGCACUCUAGCGAGACUGCCGGUAAUAAACCGGAGGAAGGUGGGGAUGACGUCAAAUCAUCAUGCCCCUUAUGACCUGGGCUACACACGUGCUACAAUGGCUGGUACAACGAGUCGCAAGUCGGUGACGGCAAGCUAAUCUCUUAAAGCCAGUCUCAGUUCGGAUUGUAGGCUGCAACUCGCCUACAUGAAGUCGGAAUCGCUAGUAAUCGCGGAUCAGCACGCCGCGGUGAAUACGUUCCCGGGCCUUGUACAC